UUUAAAGGGUGCGUAGGUUGUUCGGUAAGUCAGCGGUGAAACCUGAGCGCUCAACGUUCAGCCUGCCGUUGAAACUGCCCGGGCUUGAGUUCAGUGGCGGCAGGCGGAAUUCGUGGUGUAGCGGUGAAAUGCAUAGAUAUCACGAGGAACUCCGAUUGCGAAGGCAGCUUGCCAUACUGCGACUGACACUGAAGCACGAAGGCGUGGGUAUCAAACAGGAUUAGAUACCCUGGUAGUCCACGCAGUAAACGAUGAUUACUAGGAGUUUGCGAUAUACCGUCAAGCUUCCACAGCGAAAGCGUUAAGUAAUCCACCUGGGGAGUACGCCGGCAACGGUGAAACUCAAAGGAAUUGACGGGGGCCCGCACAAGCGGAGGAACAUGUGGUUUAAUUCGAUGAUACGCGAGGAACCUUACCCGGGAUUGAAAUGUAGAUGACGGAUGGUGAAAACCGUCUUCCCUUCGGGGCUUCUAUGUAGGUGCUGCAUGGUUGUCGUCAGCUCGUGCCGUGAGGUGUCGGCUUAAGUGCCAUAACGAGCGCAACCCACAUCGGUAGUUGCUAACAGUUUUCGCUGAGGACUCUACCGAGACUGCCGUCGUAAGGCGCGAGGAAGGUGUGGAUGACGUCAAAUCAGCACGGCCCUUACAUCCGGGGCGACACACGUGUUACAAUGGGAGGGACAAAGGGCAGCUACCGGGCGACCGGAUGCGAAUCUCUAAACCCUUCCCCAGUUCGGAUCGGAGUCUGCAACUCGACUCCGUGAAGCUGGAUUCGCUAGUAAUCGCGCAUCAGCCAUGGCGCGGUGAAUACGUUCCCGGGCCUUGUCCUCUCCCCCGUCAAGCCAUGGGAGUCGGGGGUACCUGAAGGGCGUAACCGCAAGGGCGCAACUAGGGUAAACCCCGACGCCAC
RNAcentral lists this ribosomal RNA (909 nucleotides) under uncultured bacterium. RNAcentral's name for it is "bacterial SSU rRNA". It matches the Rfam family "Bacterial small subunit ribosomal RNA", at positions 559 to 1477 of the family's 1533-position model. The record is from RNAcentral.